RNAcentral lists this ribosomal RNA (202 nucleotides) under uncultured bacterium. Its description in RNAcentral is "partial 16S ribosomal RNA". It matches the Rfam family "Bacterial small subunit ribosomal RNA", at positions 29 to 259 of the family's 1533-position model. The record is from RNAcentral.
AACGAACGCUGGCGGCAGGCUUAACACAUGCAAGUCGAACGCACUCUUCGGAGUGAGUGGCAGACGGGUGAGUAACGCGUGGGAAUCUACCCAGCCCUUCGGAAUAGCUCCGGGAAACUGGAAUUAAUACCGAGUACGCCCUACCGGGGAAGGAAGUUAGUCGGGUUGGGUAGUGAGCCCGCCGUUGGUAGUUAGUCUAGUU